UAAGACGUAGGUGGCGAGCGUUGUUCGGAAUCACUGGGCAUAAAGCGCACGUAGGCGGCUGAGUAAGUCGGAUGUGAAAUACCUCGGCUCAACCGAGGAACUGCGUCCGAUACUGCUCGGCUUGAGGUCCGGAGGGGAGAGUGGAAUUCCCGGUGGAGCGGUGAAAUGCGUAAAGAUCGGGAAGAACGCCGGCGGCGAAAGCGACUCUCUGGUCGGAAUCUGACGCUGAGGUGCGAAAGCUAGGGGAGCAAACGGG
This 256-nucleotide ribosomal RNA is filed under the name uncultured archaeon. RNAcentral's name for it is "partial 16S ribosomal RNA". It matches the Rfam family "Bacterial small subunit ribosomal RNA", at positions 521 to 776 of the family's 1533-position model. The record is from RNAcentral.